Molecule: ribosomal RNA, 482 nt
Filed under: uncultured bacterium
Lineage: Bacteria
Description: partial 16S ribosomal RNA
Rfam family: Bacterial small subunit ribosomal RNA
Source: RNAcentral
AUUGAACGCUGGCGGCAUGCUUUACACAUGCAAGUCGAACGGUAACAGGCCGCAAGGUGCUGACGAGUGGCGAACGGGUGAGUAAUGCAUCGGAACGUGCCCAGUCGUGGGGGAUAACUACUCGAAAGAGUAGCUAAUACCGCAUACGAUCUAUGGAUGAGAGCGGGGGACCGUAAGGCCUCGCGCGAUUGGAGCGGCCGCUGUCAGAUUAGGUAGUUGGUGGGGUAAAGGCUCACCAGGCCCACGAUCUGUAGCUGGUCUGAGAGGACGACCAGCCACACUGGGACUGAGACACGGCCCAGAGUCCUACGGGAGGCAGCAGUGGGGAAUGUUGGACAAUGGGCGCAAGCCUGAUCCAGCAAUGCCGCGUGCAGGAAGAAGGCCUUCGGGUUGUAAACUGCUUUUGUACGGAACGAAACGGCUCUGGUUAAUACCCGGGGCUAAUGACGGUACCGUAAGAAUAAGCACCGGCUAACUACGUG